Molecule: non-coding RNA, 1100 nt
Organism: Microcebus murinus (gray mouse lemur)
Lineage: Eukaryota; Metazoa; Chordata; Mammalia; Primates; Cheirogaleidae
Source: RefSeq, a predicted model, not a curated record
GUUCAGGUCCUUCUUAGCAGCGGAUUAGUUUGACACCUGCACAGCUGCAUCCCGAGGGCUUUUCAUCUCUUCUAUUUUCAUUUAUGAGGACCCUGGAUUUGAGUGGCAGAAGUCCAAUUCUGAUGUCAACUCUUCAACUUCACCACUUAACAAGUUGAAUGACCUUAGGAAAGUAACUUCACCUUUCUGAACUUCAGUCUCCUCAUCUGUAAAUUGGCAAUGAAACUCGGACUACUCCCAUCUGCCUCAGCUCAGAGCCAAUACUUCCUGCCAGUCGUGGAUUGAACUUCGGGGACAGAAGAGCUGCUAAGAAAACCUAUUCCUAAAACCAGAGCUCUCCAGAGGUCAGGAAUGGCACCAGCCUUAUUAUGAUCUGUUUGUUACGCACUUUGUUGUAAAUUACUGUUCCUCAGGUGUCAUACUCACAAGGAGACAUGUGAGAAAGAACCUCUCCUUUGAACCUCUCUCAUGCUGCCAGUACAAGCAUUUAUAAAUGCUGUUUAUAUAUGCACUCCCCUAUCUUUAGAAAGGAGUAGCUCCCAGAGAUUAUGGGCCUUGUUUAAGGUCACUUGGUGACCUCAGAGUGCUACUGGGAACAGAAUUCAUCCCCCACUCUCAUGGAUUCCUUUCUCCUCAUUAUCAACCAUUUUUUCUCUAUUGAGCAACAGAAAGUAGAAUAUAUAUCAGCAUUUCCCCAAGGGAGGUUUUAAGUUUCAUAUUCCCUUUUGGGAAAUUGAGUUGACCUUCCUCUUCUCCACUAUGCCUAUUUCACUAAAGUCCUUGGUAGAUUUCUUUUUUAUUAUUAUAAAACUCUUUAGUCUUUGUGCCUAUUGAAAAUUAUUAUGGACUAAAUGAAUUUGUAUUUGUACAAAGUAAAACUAAAUUCUAUAGCUCAAGUGAUAAAUGGGAUUUGAAAGCAGAUAGUUUCAGAUUGAUUUCAUUAACCCACAUUUACGAUCCCCAUUUCCAUAGCUUUUUGUCACUACCAAGUCACAUGCAGCUAUGGAAAAUUAGUGUGUACAUCCCAUGAAAAAAGUGGAGAGGCAAGUGGCCCUAGUUAUUUGAAGCUAGGAGGCUCCUUAGUAUUGCAGUGAAUAUUU